Long non-coding RNA from Sarcophilus harrisii (Tasmanian devil), 832 nucleotides. RefSeq lists it as uncharacterized. The transcript is spliced from 3 exons. The record is from RefSeq and is a predicted model, not a curated record. NCBI's taxonomy places the organism in Eukaryota, Metazoa, Chordata, Mammalia, Dasyuromorphia, Dasyuridae.
AUAUACACAAUUUUGAUAAUAUAAAUGUAAAAAAAGUAAUAUCCACAAAACAUUUCUUUAAAAAGGUUGCAAAAUUAUGGAAGACUGGACUGGAAAGAAGAGAUAGAAGAAACCUUUGCUUACUUCUCCCAUUAUCUUUUAAGAUAUGAGAUGUUGACAGACAUGAAAUAUGGGAACAGACAAGAAGUCCUGGCAAGAAGUCAUCUAUAUACCUUGCCUAGAGGUUUGACUCUGAAUCAAGAAGAAAAUGAAUUGCAGGUGUUUCACCUGACAGAGCAAGAACAAACACAUUCAUGGGACAUUCUUCAGUGUUGGCAAGAAAAUGAAUUGCCAUUCAUUGCUUUGAUGUGAUUAGGAGCACCUGGCUGCCAAAUUGCUAUUUGAAAAAUAAUUACCCUCCAUUAGUGGUUGAUUUUUCACCUGCUCCACUUCAUAAACUUUGAAAAGGAUCUUUCAGUAAUGAUUCAAUUUUACAGGUAAAUUUCUACCUUAAGAAAACAUGAUGAAUUGUCAAACAAAUUAUGUUUAAAUGGAAACCGAUUGUUGCUCUCCACAAGGAAUAUAUAGACUUGUUUGUUUAAAUAAAGUGCUUCAAUGUAUUAGGUACGUGUGUGUGUGUGUGUGUGUGAAUUAAGUAACAUAUGGAACAAGAGACUCUAGAAUGCAAAACCCUAAGACUCUGGACCCUGGGAUCUAAGAACAGCUAAAGGUAGAGGCACCAGGAAAGUUAAGUGCUGCUCUACUGAGACUUAUGCUACCUUACUCUCCUGACCAUCUCUUUUUUUUCAUCUCACUUUUCCCCACUGAGAUGCUUGCUAGGCAAACAUAAAAA